UGAACUCUGCCUGUAGCCAGGAAAUAAGUUU
RNAcentral lists this non-coding RNA (31 nucleotides) under Rattus norvegicus (Norway rat). Lineage: Eukaryota; Metazoa; Chordata; Mammalia; Rodentia; Muridae. The record is from RNAcentral.